GUUACAGCAGCCGCGGUAAUACGUAGGUGGCAAGCGUUGUCCGGAUUUAUUGGGUUUAAAGGGUGCGUAGGCGGGCGGCUAAGUCAGGGGUGAAAGACGGUGGCUCAACCAUCGCAGUGCCUUUGAUACUGGCCGCCUUGAGUGAGGACGAGGCCCGCGGAAUGGGUGGUGUAGCGGUGAAAUGCUUAGAUACCAUCCAGAACACCGAUUGCGAAGGCAGAGGGCUAGGGCGCAACUGACGCUGAGGCACGAAAGUGCGGGGAUCAAACAGGAUUAGAAACCCCCGUAGUCC
Molecule: ribosomal RNA, 292 nt
Filed under: uncultured bacterium
Lineage: Bacteria
Description: partial 16S ribosomal RNA
Rfam family: Bacterial small subunit ribosomal RNA
Source: RNAcentral